UUACCCAAUCCCGACUCGGGGAGGUAGUGACAAUAAAUACUGAUACAGGGCUCUUUUGGGUCUUGUAAUUGGAAUGAGUACAAUUUAAAUCCCUUAACGAGGAACAAUUGGAGGGCAAGUCUGGUGCCAGCAGCCGCGGUAAUUCCAGCUCCAAUAGCGUAUAUUAAAGUUGUUGUGGUUAAAAAGCUCGUAGUUGAACCUUGGGCCUGACUGGCCGGUCCGCCUCACCGCGUGUACUGGUCCGGCCGGGCCUUUCCCUCUGUGGAACCCCAUGCCCUUCACUGGGUGUGGCGGGGAAACAGGACUUUUACUUUGAAAAAAUUAGAGUGCUCCAGGCAGGCCUAUGCUCGAAUACAUUAGCAUGGAAUAAUAAAAUAGGACGUGUGGUUCUAUUUUGUUGGUUUCUAGGACCGCCGUAAUGAUUAAUAGGGACAGUCGGGGGCAUCAGUAUUCAAUUGUCAGAGGUGAAAUUCUUGGAUUUAUUGAAGACUAACUACUGCGAAAGCAUUUGCCAAGGAUGUUUUCAUUAAUCAGGAACGAAAGUUAGGGGAUCGAAGACGAUCAGAUACCGUCGUAGUCUUAACCAUAAACUAUGCCGACUAGGGAUCGGACGAUGUUAUUAUUUGACUCGUUCGGCACCUUACGAGAAAUCAAAGUGCUUGGGCUCCAGG
RNAcentral lists this ribosomal RNA (671 nucleotides) under uncultured eukaryote. RNAcentral describes it as "SSU rRNA". It matches the Rfam family "Eukaryotic small subunit ribosomal RNA", at positions 441 to 1118 of the family's 1831-position model. The record is from RNAcentral.